Candidatus Staskawiczbacteria bacterium is the source of this 76-nucleotide non-coding RNA. The record is from Rfam. Lineage: Bacteria; Candidatus Staskawicziibacteriota.
CGAGGUGUAGCUCAGCCUGGUUAGAGCAUCGGAGCUAUGGGCCCGAAGGUCGUAGGUUCAAAUCCUACCAUUCCGA